Molecule: small nucleolar RNA, 151 nt
Organism: Pygocentrus nattereri (red-bellied piranha)
Lineage: Eukaryota; Metazoa; Chordata; Actinopteri; Characiformes; Serrasalmidae
Source: Ensembl
CUUCAGUGAUGAUACGAUGACGAGUCGGAACGGGACAGCCUCUUGACUCUGGGGCUUCUGGAUUAUGGAUCACGUUCUGUGCUCCUAAUUCAGUUCCUCAGAGCAGUGUGUUCCUUUUGGUUGAAGACAUCGAGGCAUUUGUCUGAGAAGG